This 469-nucleotide ribosomal RNA is filed under the name Barteria nigritana. RNAcentral describes it as "eukaryotic LSU rRNA". The stretch from base 156 to 311 matches the Rfam family "5.8S ribosomal RNA". Lineage: Eukaryota; Viridiplantae; Streptophyta; Magnoliopsida; Malpighiales; Passifloraceae. The record is from RNAcentral.
CGGCGGGCCUGUCCCGUCUCCCCGUUCCCCGUCCCCACGWACAAAACCCCGGCGCAAGAUGCGCCAAGGAAUCGCAACGAGAAAAGGAACGUGCCCCCGUUGUGCGCCGGGAACGGAAUGCGCACGGGAGGCCUCGUAUUCUUUGAAAACAAAACGACUCUCGGCAACGGAUAUCUCGGCUCUCGCAUCGAUGAAGAACGUAGCGAAAUGCGAUACUUGGUGUGAAUUGCAGAAUCCCGUGAACCAUCGAGUCUUUGAACGCAAGUUGCGCCCGAAGCCUUCGGGCCGAGGGCACGUCUGCCUGGGUGUCAUGCACCGUCGCCCCCAUCCCCGCUCCCCUGAGGGGAGUGGGGAAGCGCGGGGCGGACAAUGGCCUCCCGUGCGCUCUCGCUCGCGGUUGGCCUAAAUCCGAGUUGUUGGCGGCGAGCGCCACGGCAAGCGGUGGUUGGAAAGACCCUCUGAAGUGUCG